AGCAGAUUGUAUGAAAAUAAUUUGCCAAAACACAAAAUAAUUUGCCAUAAGAGUGCAUUUGACUUUAUUAUCUAAAUGUCCAGAAGCCCAAAGGUGAUGUUGAAUUCAAAGUGUGUUUAUUCAAUACGUUCUGAGCGUGGCUGCAUUCUAGAUCGUAUAGCCUGAACUGUUUUCUAAAACUCCCAUCAGUAAUGUUAAUUUUGCUAGCCUAACCUUAGGACCUUUCUCACAGAAAGCCUAUUUAAAGCAAAGCCUAGCAUAUUGAACUGAAUGUCCUGCAAAGAAUGUGUCAGCGAGAAAGACCUUGAUUGGGUAUUAUUAAUUAUUAUACAUUUUCUUUACCUCUGUCCACCUGCUGAUUUUAUGAAUGAUAGACACCUCCAAGGUCAUAUUCGGAUAACAAGCGCUGUUUUUGCCCCUUCUCGUUUGAUUCAUUUCCUCAUGCUCUUCUCCCUCUCUUGGACAGAUGCUGCCAGGGGCAUUAGCACAGUGGCAUUGUGGUUGCUCUGCCAGCUCCCAUCAGCGCAUACCUGGCAUCAGACAAUCACCUUGACCCCCUGGUGAGAAAAGAAGGGGCUCUGGCUGUUCUCCAAGAUUCUCCUUCCUCCUACUCCAAUCAUGCCCAUGCAUGGACUCGACACAUGUGCAGCAGUCAAAUACAAAUUGUGACAAUCACCAAGCAGGUCUAUUACAGUCAGAUUUACCACCGCUGGGAAGCACAGCAGGUAACAUAGAGCUACAGUUGUUAUGCCAACUGUGCUGCAAAUACCUAAUUGCAGAAACACCAUCAAUUGGCUGCUGCUGCACAGGCGGAAAUGUGGUGUUUAAAGACCAGCCGAUCUGGAAAACGAGAGAACUGGGAACUGCUGACAAAACACUUCAGCUGUUCCAAAGUUUGAGACAAUGGCAUUACAGUGAAGAUGGCAGAUAUAAGCUCAUUAUGAGGUGAACGCCGCUGACCCCGAGCACCAACUCAUGAGGAUUUGGAUCGAGGACUUCUAGUCCAGUUGAUCUGAGGUGUCGGACAACGACGGCGCAGGGAGUCGAACGGAGGUGGACUAAAACGAAAAGUGCAAAAUGAGGGAUGAGGCAACAGAUGAUAACGUUGAUGCAACCAAGAUCAAACAUUCAUCUGAAGGUUUUAGUGGUUUUUGUGCAAUUUGGUAGCGGGCCGAGAGCUGAGGGAUGGAGAACACCGGAUGGAGAACUAAUAAUUAAUACUUUUUGUCUGGCUUUUCAGAAAACAUCUAAACAGCCCUUAAUCAAGAUAUCUGAGAAGAAAACUGCAUAAGAUGAAACAAUUGAGUCACUUUUGCAUGCAAUAUUUCUGCACACAGAAAUAAAUAAAUAAAUGUGCCACAUUU
Cyprinus carpio carpio is the source of this 1364-nucleotide long non-coding RNA. NCBI's taxonomy places the organism in Eukaryota, Metazoa, Chordata, Actinopteri, Cypriniformes, Cyprinidae. The record is from Ensembl.